GUCCUGGCCCUAAACGAUGGGUACUAGGUUGAAGGCUUACAUGGGCUUUCAGCCGGAGCAAAAGUGUUAAGUACCCCGCCUGGGGAGUAUGGUCGCAAGGCUGAAACUCAAAGGAAUUGACGGGGGCUCACACAAGCGGUGGAGCAUGUGGCUUAAUUCGAGGCUACGCGAAGAACCUUAUCCCAGACUUGACAUGUUCGAAAGAGGUAGGAAGUAGGGAGCGGAAACGUUUCCCCAACGGUAUCCAGUCAGGAACCUACUACAGGUGCUGCAUGGCUGUCGU
Molecule: ribosomal RNA, 283 nt
Filed under: uncultured bacterium
Lineage: Bacteria
Description: partial 16S ribosomal RNA
Rfam family: Bacterial small subunit ribosomal RNA
Source: RNAcentral